UUCAGGUUGCCCAGGCCAGGAAGGACUAGGGGAAGGCCAGCCUGCACACUUGCUGCAGCUAUAGCUGGUGGGGGAGGGACAGAAGGAGCCCCAGGGUGGGGUAGGGAUGUGGGGUGAAGAGGGGACUCCCUGGUUUUCCUAGCCGCCAGGGCUGUAGGUUCCCAAGCAGCCACAGCCCAGCCCAGAAGUGCAGGCACCACCCUGCUGGGGCACCCACCGCCCACGGCAAACUCCGAGCCCCAGGCUGAGUCACUCUUCCUGGGGGGCUGGGUGGGGAGAGCCCCCAGUGCCUAUGCAAAGCAGUCCUUGGCUUCCGGGAACCUCGGAAGGGCUGGGCCAGCUUGGCCCAUAGGACAGGCCAGGGCCCACGUGGCACAAGCAGGGCAUGAGCAGCAGGAAGAACGAGGUGGGAACAGCUCCCACUCCCCAGGGCUCUCAUCCCAGCGGAGAGACGCACGGAGGCCGGGCACAGGACUGGGAGGUCAAAUCUGCCAGGGUGGCCCAGCGCAGCAGGCCAGGUAGCACUGCGGGGCAGGGCCUUGUCCCCCAGGCACCCAGGGCCUGAUGGGACCCACCGGGGUGCCCAGAAAGUGUGUGUCCAAGCCACAGCAAAGACAAGAUGGUGGAAAGACGUAUUCAAUGUUCGGCGGGAGAGUGGCUGCAACCUGUACUCCUGCUGCAGAGAAUCUGACGCUGUCAUGAACCUGUGUGGAAAAGAUAUUGACAGACCAAAAGCUCAUCCGAACGUCCCAUCACUGGCACCUUCCUAAGGGACACUGUCUUGAGCAGAAAGAAAGUGGUUCAGAAUGAACAUGGUUGGAAGUCUGAGACUCAGGAAGAGUGAAGGGCAAAGAGGAAUGUAUGUAGUAAAUCUAAAAACCACUGGCUGUGCAAGCGAUGAUGAUAAUCAUGCCCAGUAGACUGUUAAAAACAUUAUUAAACAGGCUGACAGCAAUAGCAGGAAGUCAGAAGGGAGCACGGGACUUCACAUUUUCCAGGCUUCAAAGUCGAUAUAUUGCCAGGUGGGUAUAAGUGUGACUUCCUUCACUUUAGAUUUUGAUAAGUUUAACGUGCAAUGAGUAAUUUGUAGGCAGUGAGUAAAACACCAGAAACAGAGUCUGUAACCUCCAAACCAGAAGAAGGAAAAACCAAAAUGAGAGAAGAAGCGUCAAUGAAAACUAAGGCAAGAACAGAGAGAAAAAGGAACAUAGAAUAGAUGAGAUCAACAAAAGUUAAAUGAAAUCAAAUGGUAGGUACUGUGGUCAUCAGGCUCCAAGGCAGCCCCCAGUGAUCCUCACCCCCAGGCAAUCACGCAUGUGUGCUCCCCUCCUGUCUGGAUCAGGAUUGAGGUGCAUGGCCAGUAGAAUAUAGGGGCAGCAGGGGUAUGUGAUGUCUUGGGUGAGGUCAUAAAGACCUCAUGAAUCUAGUGGUCUCUCUUGAAUCACUCACUGGAGGAAGCCAGCUGCCAUGUUGUGAGGACACUCAGCCCUGUGGAAGGUCCACGUGGGAGGGACUGAUGGGGGGUGCACCAUCAGGGAGGUGGGUCCCCAGCUCCAGGCAAACCUUCAGAUGAGGCUGCCUCAGUUCACACCGGGACUGAGCUUCAGAAGCAUCCCUGAAGCAGCACCAUGCCGAGGAGCCCUUCUCGGACUCCUGAGCCACAGAAAAUGUGGAGGAUAAAUGUUUGCUUUGCCACAGCUCUGCUUUGCAGUGAUUUCUUAUGCAGAAUCAAUCACCACAGAAUCCAUGUACAUGAUUACAUUAAACGUAAAUGUUACAUGCACUGGUUAAAAGACACUGGCAGUCCGGAAUUUUAUGCAGAGAAAUAUGUAAAACAUAAGCUUAUAUAAUGAUGAAAGAAAAAACAUACCAGGAAAAUCCUCACCAAAAUAAAAUUAGUAACAAUCUGAAAACUCUAAAGCAAGAACUGACAGAAUUACAUGCAUCUUAUCAUACUUUUCUUAGUAACUGAUAAGCAAACUAAGAAAAUGAAAUAUGUCAACAACACAAUAAACAAAUCUGGCCCAACUCAUGAUACUGAACAAUUUCAGAAUUACAUAUUAUUUGCACCAAGAAAUAUUUACAAAAAUUGAUGACCAAAAGCAACUGACAAUCAUCUAAUGACUCACAAUCCUCCAUCUGACAUGUACUCCUCCAUCUGACAUGCACUCCUCCAUCUGACGUGCACUCCUCCAUCUGAUGUGCACUCCUCCAUCUGACGUGCACUCCUCCAUCUGACGUGCACACCUCCAUCUAACGUGCCCUCCUCCAUCUGAUGACGUGCACUCCUCCAUCUGACGUGCAUUCCUCCAUCUGACAAUGUGUACUCCUCCAUCUGACGUGCACUACUCCAUCUGACGAAAUGCACUCCUCCAUCAGAUGAUGUGUACUCCUCCAUCUGACAUGCACUCCUCCAUCUGACAACAUGCACUCCUCCAUCUGAUGAUGUGUACUCCUCCAUCUGACAUGCACUCCUCCAUCUGACAACGUGCACUCCUCCAUUUGACGUGAACUCCUCCAUCUAACGACGUGUACCCCUCCAUCUGACAACGUGCACUCCUCCAUCUGACAACAUGCACUCCUCCAUCUGACAACGUGCACUCCUCCAUCUGACAUGUACUCCUCCAUCUGACGAUGUGCACUCCAUCUGAUGUGCAUUCCUCCAUCUGAUGAUGUGUACUCCUUCAUCUGACGUGCACUCCGCCAUCUGACAACAUGCACUCCUCCAUCUGACGUGCACUCCUCCAUCUGACAACGUGCACUCCUACAUCUGACGACGUGCACUCCUCCAUCUGACGUGCACUCCUCCAUCUGACGUGCACUCCUCCAUCUGAAUGUGUACUCCUCCAUCUGAUGAUGUGUACUCCUCCAUCUGACAUGCACUCCUCCAUCUGACGUGCAUUCCUCCAUCUGACGUGCACUCCUCCAUCUGACAACGUGCAUUCCUCCAUCUGAUGUGCACUCCUCCAUCUGACCUGCACUCCUCCAUCUGAUGAUGUGCACUCCUCCAUCUGAUGUGCACUCUUCCAUCUGACAUUCACUCCUCCAUCUGAUGAUGUGUACUCCUCCAUCUGAUGUGCACUCCUCCAUCUGACGUGCACUCCUCCAUCUGAUGUGUACUCCUCCAUCUGACGUGCACUCCUCCAUCUGACGACAUGUACUCCUCCAUCUGACAAUGUGCACUCCUCCAUCUGAUGUGCACUCCUCCAUCUGACGAUGUGUACUCCUCCAUCUGAUGUGCACUCCUCCAUCUGAUAUGCACUCCUCCAUCUGACAUGCACUCCUCCAUCUGAUGACGUGCACUCCUCCAUCUGAUGUGCACUCCUCCAUCUGAUGAUGUGUACUCCUCCAUCUGACGUGCACUCCUCCAUGUGACGACGUGCACUCCUCCAUCUGACAUGCACUCCUCCAUCUGAUGACGUGCACUCCUCCAUCUGACGUGCACUCCUCCAUCUGAUGUGCACUCCUCCAUCUGAUGAUGUGUACUCCUCCAUCUGAUGUGCACUCCUCCAUCUGACGACGUGCACUCCUCCAUCUGACAUGCACUCCUCCAUCUGAUGAUGUGCACUCCUCCAUCUGACGACGUGCACUCCUCCAUCUGACAUGCACUCCUCCAUCUGAUGAUGUGCACUCCUCCAUCUGACGUGCACUCCUCCAUCUGAUGUGCACUCCUCCAUCUGACGUGCACUCCUCCAUCUGACGACGUGCACUCCUCCAUCUGACAUGCACUCCUCCAUCUGACGACGUGCACUCCUCCAUCUGAUAUGCACUCCUCCAUCUGAUGACAUGCACUUCUCCAUCUGACGUGCACUCCUCCAUCUGAUGAUGUGUACUCCUCCACCUGACAUGCAGUCCUCCAUCUGACGUGCACUCCUCCAUCUGACGACGUGCACUCCUCCAUCUGACGUGCACUCCUCCAUCUGAUGAUGUGCGCUCCUUCAUCUGACAUGCACUCCUCCAUCUGAUGAUGUGUACUCCUCCAUCUGACGACAUGCACUCCUCCAUCUGACGUGCACUCCUCCAUCUGACGAUGUGCACUCCUCCAUCUGACAUGCACUCCUCCAUCUGAUGACGUGCACUCCUCCAUCUGAUGAUGUGCACUCCUCCAUCUGACGACGUGCACUCCUACAUCUGACAUGCACUCCUCCUUCUGACAAUGUGUACUCCUCCGUCUGAUGUGCACUCCUCCAUCUGACAAUGUGCACUCCUCCAUCUGAUGCACACUCCUCCGACGACGUGCACUCCUCCAUCUGACAAUGUGUACUCCUCCAUCUGAUGAUGUGUACUACUCCAUCUGACAAUGUGUACUCCUCCAUCUGACAUGCACUCCUCCAUCUGACAAUGUGUACUCCUCCAUCUGAUGAUGUGUACUCCUCCAUCUGACGUGUACUCCUCCAUCUGACGUGCACUCCUCCAUCUGACAAUGUGUACUCCUCCAUCUGACAUGCAUUCCUCCAUCUGACAAUGUGCACUCCUCCAUCUGAUGUGCACGCCUCCAUUUGACAAUGUGUACUCCUCCAUCUGAUGCGCAUUCCUCCAUCUGACGACGUGCACUCCUCCAUCUGACGAUGUGUUUUGAUGAAAACCCAGCAUCCCCUGUCACAGUUAAGAAACUCCUGCCCACUCUUAACUCUGCAGGUCCAUGUAGGUGUGGAGCAGCAAGAAUAAGACACAAAAGGCAUAAAGAUCAUAAGGGAAGAAGUGAAACGGAAUUGAUUUGCAGGUGAUGUGACUUUGUCGAAAACCCAAAGGCAUCUACAAGUUGCCAGAAUCAAGAGGUGAAUUUACCAACAAGUUGGGACACAGUGUCCAUGUACAAAAUCAGGGCAUGUCCCACAUUUUAGCAACAAACCAGAACCAAGAGGUGAAUUUACCAACACGUCAGGACAGAGUGUCCAUGUACAAAAUCAGGGCAUGUCCCACAUUUUAGCAACAAACCAGAACCAAGAGGUGAAUUUACCAACACGUCAGGACACAGUGUCCAUGUACAAAACCAGGGCAUUUCGCACAUUUUAGCAACAAACAAUUGGAAAAUAAAAUUUCAAAUACUAUUGAUAAAAUUAUCAAAAUUUAUUUGUAAAAUAUACUUAUAAAAGUAUCAAAAAUCCAUCAAAUACCUAGGAAUAAAUGUAAUGAAAACUAUGCAAUAAUAUUGCUUGGAGAAACUGAAAAAAACCUAAAUAAACGUUGAGAUACAUCAUGUGCAGGGAUCAGAAGCCUCAAUAUUGUAGGAUAUCAAUUCUCCCCAAAAUGAUCUAUAGAUUUGACACAAUCUCAAUAAACAUCCCAG
RNAcentral lists this long non-coding RNA (5290 nucleotides) under Homo sapiens (human). RNAcentral's name for it is "HSALNT0279351". The record is from RNAcentral. Lineage: Eukaryota; Metazoa; Chordata; Mammalia; Primates; Hominidae.